AGAGUUUGAUCCUGGCUCAGAACGUACGCUGGCGGCACGCCUAACACAUGCAAGUCGAACGAAGUAGCAAUACUUAGUGGCAGACGGGUGAGGAACAUGUGGGUAUCUGCCCUUUGGCCUGGAAUAACACGAGGAAACUUGUGCUAAUACCAGAUAAGUCUUUACGGAGAAAGCUUUAUGCACCAUUGGAUGAGCCCGCACUUGAUUAGUUUGUUGGUGGGGUAAUGGCCUACCAAGACUUUGAUCAAUAGCUGAUUUGAGAGGAUGAUCAGCCACAUUGGGACUGAGACACGGCCCAAACUCCUACGGGAGGCAGCAGUGGGGAAUCUUGCACAAUGGAGGAAACUCUGAUGCAGCGAUGCCGCGUGAGUGAAGAAGGCCUUUGGGUUGUAAAGCUCUUUCGUCGGGGAAGAAAAUGACUGUACCCGAAUAAGAAGGUCCGGCUAACUUCGUGCCAGCAGCCGCGGUAAUACGAAGGGACCUAGCGUAGUUCGGAAUUACUGGGCUUAAAGAGUUCGUAGGUGGUUGAAAAAGUUGGUGGUGAAAUCCCAGAGCUUAACUCUGGAACUGCCAUCAAAACUUUUCAGCUAGAGUUUGAUAGAGGAAAGCAGAAUUUCUAGUGUAGAGGUGAAAUUCGUAGAUAUUAGAAAGAAUACCAAUUGCGAAGGCAGCUUUCUGGAUCAUUACUGACGCUGAGGAACGAAAGCAUGGGUAGCGAAGAGGAUUAGAUACCCUCGUAGUCCAUGCCGUAAACGAUGUGUGUUAGACGUUGGAAAUUUAUUUUCAGUGUCGCAGCGAAAGCGAUAAACACACCGCCUGGGGAGUACGACCGCAAGGUUAAAACUCAAAUGAAUUGACGGGGACCCGCACAAGUAGUGGAGCAUGUGGUUUAAUUCGAAGAUACGCGCAGAACCUUACCAACACUUGACAUGUUCGUCGCGACUUUAAGAGAUUAAAGUUUUCGGUUCGGCCGGACGAAACACAGGUGCUGCAUGGCUGUCGUCAGCUCGUGUCGUGAGAUGUUGGGUUAAGUCCCGCAACGAGCGCAACCCUCACUUUUAGUUGCCAUCAUUUAGUUGGGCACUCUGAAAGAACUGCCAGUGAUAAGCUGGAGGAAGGUGGGGAUGACGUCAAGUCCUCAUGGCCCUUAUGGGUAGGGCUUCACACGUCAUACAAUGGUUGGUACAGAGGGUUGCAAACCCGCGAGGGGAAGCUAAUCUCAAAAAACCAAUCGUAGUCCGGAUUGCAGUCUGCAACUCGACUGCAUGAAGUCGGAAUCGCUGGUAAUCGCGGAUCAGAAUGUCGCGGUGAAUACGUUCCCGGGUCUUGUACACACCGCCCGUCACACCAUGGGAGUUGGUUCUACCUUAAGGCAAGGCAUUAAACCCUUGACCACGGUAUAGUCAGCGACUGGGGUGAAGUCGUAACAAGGUACCG
RNAcentral lists this ribosomal RNA (1437 nucleotides) under uncultured bacterium. RNAcentral describes it as "partial 16S ribosomal RNA". It matches the Rfam family "Bacterial small subunit ribosomal RNA". The record is from RNAcentral.